AGCCUAAGUCCCGCAAGGGAUAUGGCACAAAAUCCUACGCGAAUAAAGAUGGUCUUCUGACCAGCACUUGUUACUUAGGUCUAUAUCCGAAAGGAUGUAGGGCGGUUCCGAAAGGAGCUGUC
Molecule: small RNA, 122 nt
Filed under: unclassified sequences
Description: LOOT RNA
Rfam family: LOOT RNA
About the family: Latescibacteria, OD1/Parcubacteria, OP11, TM7.
Source: Rfam by way of RNAcentral